GGCGAGAUAGCUCAGUUGGUUAGAGCGUUGGAUUCAUAACCCAAAGGUCCCGAGUUCAACUCUCGGUCUCGCUACUA
Molecule: transfer RNA, 77 nt
Filed under: Bacteroidota bacterium
Lineage: Bacteria; Pseudomonadati; Bacteroidota
Description: Bacteroidetes bacterium (freshwater metagenome) tRNA-Met
Rfam family: tRNA
About the family: Transfer RNA (tRNA) molecules are approximately 80 nucleotides in length. Their secondary structure includes four short double-helical elements and three loops (D, anti-codon, and T loops).
Source: RNAcentral